This 1267-nucleotide ribosomal RNA is filed under the name Staphylococcus aureus. RNAcentral's name for it is "partial 23S ribosomal RNA". It matches the Rfam family "Bacterial large subunit ribosomal RNA", at positions 1603 to 2873 of the family's 2925-position model. Lineage: Bacteria; Bacillati; Bacillota; Bacilli; Caryophanales; Staphylococcaceae. The record is from RNAcentral.
CACUGCCGAGAAAAGCCUCUAGAUAGAAAAUAGGUGCCCGUACCGCAAACCGACACAGGUAGUCAAGAUGAGAAUUCUAAGGUGAGCGAGCGAACUCUCGUUAAGGAACUCGGCAAAAUGACCCCGUAACUUCGGGAGAAGGGGUGCUCUUUAGGGUUAACGCCCAGAAGAGCCGCAGUGAAUAGGCCCAAGCGACUGUUUAUCAAAAACACAGGUCUCUGCUAAACCGUAAGGUGAUGUAUAGGGGCUGACGCCUGCCCGGUGCUGGAAGGUUAAGAGGAGUGGUUAGCUUCUGCGAAGCUACGAAUCGAAGCCCCAGUAAACGGCGGCCGUAACUAUAACGGUCCUAAGGUAGCGAAAUUCCUUGUCGGGUAAGUUCCGACCCGCACGAAAGGCGUAACGAUUUGGGCACUGUCUCAACGAGAGACUCGGUGAAAUCAUAGUACCUGUGAAGAUGCAGGUUACCCGCGACAGGACGGAAAGACCCCGUGGAGCUUUACUGUAGCCUGAUAUUGAAAUUCGGCACAGCUUGUACAGGAUAGGUAGGAGCCUUUGAAACGUGAGCGCUAGCUUACGUGGAGGCGCUGGUGGGAUACUACCCUAGCUGUGUUGGCUUUCUAACCCGCACCACUUAUCGUGGUGGGAGACAGUGUCAGGCGGGCAGUUUGACUGGGGCGGUCGCCUCCUAAAAGGUAACGGAGGCGCUCAAAGGUUCCCUCAGAAUGGUUGGAAAUCAUUCAUAGAGUGUAAAGGCAUAAGGGAGCUUGACUGCGAGACCUACAAGUCGAGCAGGGUCGAAAGACGGACUUAGUGAUCCGGUGGUUCCGCAUGGAAGGGCCAUCGCUCAACGGAUAAAAGCUACCCCGGGGAUAACAGGCUUAUCUCCCCCAAGAGUUCACAUCGACGGGGAGGUUUGGCACCUCGAUGUCGGCUCAUCGCAUCCUGGGGCUGUAGUCGGUCCCAAGGGUUGGGCUGUUCGCCCAUUAAAGCGGUACGCGAGCUGGGUUCAGAACGUCGUGAGACAGUUCGGUCCCUAUCCGUCGUGGGCGUAGGAAAUUUGAGAGGAGCUGUCCUUAGUACGAGAGGACCGGGAUGGACAUACCUCUGGUGUACCAGUUGUCGUGCCAACGGCAUAGCUGGGUAGCUAUGUGUGGACGGGAUAAGUGCUGAAAGCAUCUAAGCAUGAAGCCCCCCUCAAGAUGAGAUUUCCCAACUUCGGUUAUAAGAUCCCUCAAAGAUGAUGAGGUUAAUAGGUUCGAGGUGGAAG